UGUGGAUAGGAGGUGCCCAGUGUAAGGACACCCUGCUGUCCUCUGAGUUUCCUCUGCAGUACAGACUCAGGAGCGGCCGGGGGUUCCUCUGCGCCCUGGCACCAGGGUCCUGGUCCUGCCGCAACCUCCCCUCCAGCCCUUGGCGCCAGCUGGCCAUGAAGUCGCCCUUCUAUCCCUGUCACAACACCACCUGGGUGGAGACGGGCUCCUCGGCGACGAUGGGUGGCGUGCUGUUCAGCGCGGGCCUGCUGGGCAACCUGCUGGCGCUGGCGCUGCUGGCGCGCUCCAGGUUGGGGUCCCGCCGGCCGCGCCCCGCGCGCCGGCUGCCUUCUGUCUUCUACGUGCUGGUGUGUGGCCUGACAGCCACCGACUUGCUGGGCAAGUGUCUCGUUAGCCCGGUGGUGCUGGCAGCCUAUGCGCAAAACCGGAGCCUGUGGGGACUGCUGCCCGCCCCGGGAGACCAGCUGUGCCAAGCCUUCGCCUUCAUCAUGUCCUUCUUUGGGCUAGCCUCGACGUUACAGCUGCUGGCCAUGGCGCUGGAGUGCUGGCUGUCCCUAGGACACCCCUUCUUCUACCAGCGGCACAUCACCCUGCGCCGGGGCGCGCUGGUGGCGCCGGUCGUGGGCGCCUUCUGCUUGGCUUUCUGCGGGCUCCCCUUCGCGGGCUUCGGGAAGUACGUGCAGUAUUGUCCCGGCACCUGGUGCUUCAUCCAGAUGGUCCACGAGAAGGGCUCGCUGUCGGUGCUGGGUUUCUCUGUGCUCUACUCGAGCCUCAUGGCGCUUCUGGUCCUCGCGAUCGUGCUGUGCAACCUGGGCGCCAUGCACAACCUCUACGCCAUGCACCGGCGGCUACGGCAACACACGCGCUGCUGCCCCAGGGACAGCUUCGAGCCAGGCGCCGGCCAGACACAGGGGUCCUCACAUCCCCUGGAGGAGCUGGACCACCUCCUGCUGCUGGCCCUCAUGACCGUGCUCUUCACAAUGUGCUCCCUGCCUUUAAUUUACCGUGCUUACCAUGGAGCCUUUAAACCUGACGACACAGCUUCCCCAGGAGACUCGUAUGACCUCCAAGCUUUGCGUUUUCUGUCUGUGAUUUCAAUCGUGGACCCCUGGAUUUUCAUCAUUUUCAGGACUUCAGUAUUUCGGGUGUUUUUUCACAAGAUUUUCAUAAGACCUGUUAUCUAUAGGAGUUGGCACAGCCAUUCUUGCCGAGCUAACAUGGAAUCCACUUUCUGACGGUUACUUUCUCUGGUAAGUUGAAGAAUAUAUCACACACUCAAAGGACCAUAAUUGGAAAGAAAACUUACAAUCAAAUUCAUAAAAAAUUAUCUCCCAUAACUAAGACAGCUAUUUUCAAAAAGUGAUGUAUCUUAACAAUAUGUUGUCAAUCUGUAUUCAUAAACCAUUUUGGUCCAUUUUUUAUUUUAUGUAAACAGCAACUAAAAUUUGUAUGUUGUAGACAAUGUUAAAAGUGUUAAGGCAGUGGUAUAAAUUGUCCCAACAUUUGUACUUGGUGGCCCUAAAUUUUUAAAUCUUGAGACCUAUGAGUUUUUAUUUAAAGUAGAAACAUUACUGUCUAUUUACAAUUAUGUGAUAAGUGUUCGUGAACAAGCCCAGCAAUGACUUACCCUAUUCAUUUCUAGUGAAUCUUAAUUUAUUCCAAUCCAUAAUUGCCUCUGUUUAGUUGUGUUCUUUGCCAGGUGGCCUAAGGGUAACCUAAAUUAUAUAUACUACUCUGAGAAGAGAGCUGGAAAACAGGACCAGGUCAGGCACUUGAGAGACCAUCUGGGGAUCCUCACUGCCACAAGAGGAGAUUUGCGGCUCAUGUACAGGCAGUAUGAGAAUGAAGACUAGCAGAUCUUUUGGAAUUCAUCAGACCUUCAGUGCUAGAUGGGAC
Nannospalax galili (Upper Galilee mountains blind mole rat) is the source of this 1896-nucleotide RNA transcript. It is a transcript of the gene named prostaglandin D2 receptor, with no coding region annotated. The record is from RefSeq and is a predicted model, not a curated record. NCBI's taxonomy places the organism in Eukaryota, Metazoa, Chordata, Mammalia, Rodentia, Spalacidae. The transcript has 3 exons.